RNAcentral lists this long non-coding RNA (853 nucleotides) under Zea mays. RNAcentral describes it as "drought responsive lncRNA". The record is from RNAcentral. Lineage: Eukaryota; Viridiplantae; Streptophyta; Magnoliopsida; Poales; Poaceae.
CAGCGUGCUGCUGCUGCGUCCUGCGUGUACUCAAGCGGCAAGCACUAGCAGCCAGCCAGCCAACCCAACGGCGCCCUCCACACUAGGCGGCUAGGGUUUGUGACCCGUGGGCACCUUCUAGAGCUAGAACGCCAGCGGCACAUCGUCCUCGUCCAGCCAGGCCUCUGCAGGUUAUCUGUGGGUGUCGCGCGCAUCGCCCUUGGCCCCUCACCCUCGCCCUUCCCUCCAGGAGUUGACAUGAUUAAGUGAAGUAUUGAUGAGGAGCUUGAUUGCUAUAUAUUUGAUGGACAAGGUCAUGAUGAUUCUAUUGAUAUAAGUGACUUAGAAAAAAUAUUUGGCAUAUCCAAUAUUAAAGGUCGGUAAAAAUAAUAAGCAUACUUUUGGCAUAUUAGCAUGAUGGAAAGCACAUAAAGAAGAAUAUCCUAUCUUGGGCGAGUUUUAGUGGUGGUGGUUGUGUACUUGAUCUAUUUCGUACUCGUCUUGAUCCUACCAUGGUAGAAGCACUUGUCUGCACCAAAGAUUGGAUAGAUGGAGCAAGAAAAGGUUCCAAGGCUAAGUGUGUUGCUAUUCCUGAUAUGGUUUGUGAAAUGGAGGAACUCGAGGCUAUUGCUAUAAAUCUUUCACUUGAGGAUGAAGACCUAGAUGAUGAUCAUGAUGAGGGACCCAAGGCAUCAUUGUAAGCUUGUUGAUGAAGACCUAAAUGAUGAUAAUGCGACAUGAAUGCUAUGAAUGUUUCUUAUUGUACUUGUUGCGUAAUGUUUAGUGACCUUGCGAACUUCUCACAUGUGGACUUGUGGCAUUGUGAACUUUGUGAUCAACUUGUUAUAUUGUGAACUUUGUGAUCAACUUGGUG